Molecule: small nuclear RNA, 107 nt
Organism: Cavia porcellus (domestic guinea pig)
Lineage: Eukaryota; Metazoa; Chordata; Mammalia; Rodentia; Caviidae
Source: Ensembl
GUGCUCAUAUUGAGAGAACAUAUAAUGAAAUCAGAAACAUACAGAGAAAAUUAGCAGGAUGUCUGUGGAAAUGUGACAUGUAAAUUCAUGAAGUAGUGCAUAUUUCU